AACCCUCGGGCCAAAGGACAUGCCACGGCCUCCAGGCUUCUAGUCCCUUCCUUGAAGGAUCGGCAAGUCACACGCAGAGCCUCAAGCAAGGGACUUCCAGCUGGUGGCUUCCAGCAGCUUCCUGCUCCUGAACCACCAUCGUC
This 143-nucleotide microRNA precursor is filed under the name Canis lupus familiaris (dog). Its description in RNAcentral is "microRNA cfa-mir-2114 precursor". The stretch from base 27 to 109 matches the Rfam family "mir-2114 microRNA precursor family". RNAcentral also lists the same sequence under 1 other name. Lineage: Eukaryota; Metazoa; Chordata; Mammalia; Carnivora; Canidae. The record is from miRBase by way of RNAcentral.